GUACUGCUGACGAGUCCGAAACAGGACGAAACAGCUGUCUCGGUGC
Non-coding RNA from Echinostoma caproni, 46 nucleotides. NCBI's taxonomy places the organism in Eukaryota, Metazoa, Platyhelminthes, Trematoda, Plagiorchiida, Echinostomatidae. The record is from Rfam.